ACAUAUGCAUUUUUGCCAUUAAAAAAAACACCACUUAGGAAUUUUAACAUGUUUUUUUAUGUCUUGGUCUGUUGGCUGUUUAUUGCUAACCUAAGCAAUUUUAUUUUGAUUUCGUCAGAACUCAUGGAACGGAAGUUUGCUGUGGUGAGGUGGAAUGAAGGAGAGGAUGCUGGGAAGUUAAGUGAAGUCAAGACUGAGACCAUCCGGGCAUAUGACGAUUCCAAAAUGGACCAACAUGGGAAUCCCAUUGUUGCGUAUUCAGCUAUUGUGGAAUGGCGCCAUGGGAAACCGCGAGGAGGAUGGCCUCACUACAGAGGCACUGUGCUGUUUGUCAGCGCAACUCGUUUUGAGGCAACCCGUAAAAUUAACUUGCUGCUGAAGACUGAUGAACCUCUUGAACUGACCAAGAGGAAAUCGGUCCUGCCUCAAAAAUAUCAAGAUGAGUCAGAUAACUCGACCGACACUGACAGUCAGAUUCUUACUCAGUCGUUACAUGUCAAGAAGUCAAAGGUACAGAAAAGAAAAGACCCUGCUGAAGACUUUCUUGAGAUGUACUGUCAUCCAAAAACAAGUUCAAGGGAUAGAAAUCCAGAAAAGACAGUAUCUGAAUUAAUGCAGGAGAUCAAGGAGCUGAAAGAGGAGAACGCUAACUUGAAGGAGAUGGUUGUUCAAGAUAUACCAGAACUCAUGAACACCAUGAAAAAUGUAAUUAAGUCGGUUGUACCUACUAAGCGAUCCAGGCUUGAGCUUAAUACACCACCGAUGCCCCCCCCAGAGUUUUAG
This 783-nucleotide long non-coding RNA is filed under the name Oryzias sinensis (Chinese medaka). RNAcentral describes it as "lncRNA (ENSOSIG00000009020.1)". The record is from RNAcentral. Lineage: Eukaryota; Metazoa; Chordata; Actinopteri; Beloniformes; Adrianichthyidae.